GACGAACGCUGGCGGCGUGCUUAACACAUGCAAGUCGAACGAAGAGCGAUGGACGCUUGCUUCUAUCAAUCUUAGUGGCGAACGGGUGAGUAACGCGUAAACAACCUGCCCUUCAGAGGGGGACAACAGUUGGAAACGACUGCUAAUACCGCAUACGAUCUAACCUCGGUAUCGAGGAAAGAUGAAAGGUGGCCUCUAUGUAUAAGCUAUCACUGAAGGAGGGGAUUGCGUCUGAUUAGCUAGUUGGAGGGGUAAGGGCCCACCAAGGCGAUGAUCAGUAGCCGGUCUGGGAGGAUGAACGGCCAAAAUGGGACUGGGACACGGCCCAGACUCCUACGGGAAGCAGCAGGGGGGAAUCUUCCGGAAUGGACGGAAGGCUGACGGGGCAACGCCGCGUGAGGGAUGACGGCCUUCGGGUUGGAAAGCUCUGUUAAUCGGGACGAAAGGCCUUCUUGCGAAUAGUGAGAAGGAUUGACGGUACCGGAACAGAAAGCCACGGCUAACUACGUG
This 510-nucleotide ribosomal RNA is filed under the name uncultured bacterium. Its description in RNAcentral is "partial 16S ribosomal RNA". It matches the Rfam family "Bacterial small subunit ribosomal RNA", at positions 28 to 507 of the family's 1533-position model. The record is from RNAcentral.